CAACCCUCAAGCCCCCCCGGGGGCUCGGUGUUGGGGACCGGCCCCGCCUCCCACGAGGCAGGCGCCGCCCCCGAAAUCCAGUGGCGGUCUCGCCGCGGCCUCCGCUUGCGCAGUAACAACUGAACCUCGCUUGCGGAGCGCGGCAGGGCCACGCCGUAAAACCCCAACUCAGAAAAG
Molecule: unclassified non-coding RNA, 177 nt
Filed under: uncultured Hypocreaceae
Lineage: Eukaryota; Fungi; Ascomycota; Sordariomycetes; Hypocreales
Description: sequence contains ITS2
Source: RNAcentral